Long non-coding RNA from Ahaetulla prasina, 1958 nucleotides. RefSeq lists it as uncharacterized. The record is from RefSeq and is a predicted model, not a curated record. NCBI's taxonomy places the organism in Eukaryota, Metazoa, Chordata, Lepidosauria, Squamata, Colubridae. The transcript is spliced from 8 exons.
UCAGCCACAACCUAAUGCCUUAACUGAGGAUUGUAGAAAAACUUCCCAUAAAAGCAGAAAAUCCCCCACUGCCUUACUUUGGAUCAGUUACUUCACUACAGGUACUCCUUGAUUUAUGAGCAUAACCAGUGGUGGGCUGCUCCUGGUUCGGUCUGGUCUAUAGAACUGGUAGUAAAACCCGCAGGAGGCUCUGCCCACCCGCCACGACACCAUCAUGGGUGAUCUGCGCAUGCACAGAAGCAUGUGCGCACGCAUGGUCCCGUUGCAAGUCUGUACUAAAGAUCAGCCUAACCAGAUAGCUGGCAAGCAGAGCUGAUUUCCUGAAAGGCUACUGAAAGUGAGAGAAAGAACUCAGCAGACUGGAUAAGUGAGAGCAAAGAACACAGAGAUCCAAUAAAUGAUGAGUGUUUAUACCUCCGCCCACUAUUGCUAAGCCCUGUUCUUGAACACAAGAGACAGCAUCAACAGUACAACAACAAGAAAUGGCACACUUGUUAAAAGCUUUGGGAAACUGAUUCCAUCUUGCCCUAACACCAUGUGCUGACGGGUAUACUCUCCAUGAGAGUGGCUGCUUGUUUCAGCUAGCAGCCUCAACUUUGGACUAAUAAGUAUGCAUUAACAAAUAAAGUGCUGCAGAAAUGAAUGGCAAAUGUGAACAGCACAGCAGGAAGCUACACUGCUGGCAGGCUGAAAACGGUUUUGCAGAUGCAAUUGUUGGGAGAUGACCAAGGGUUUUUCGGUCUGAAAUAUGAGCUGUAAAAAGCAGAAGCUUCACAAGGGAUGUGAGCUCGAGGAACAAAAAUACAGCAUAGUUUCUGUGAAUGCUGAGAGUUUUUUCAGGAUAUGCCAGAGGCUGGAUCCCGAAUUCUUCAUUAGAGAUGUGUUAAAGCCAGCGGUUCUCAACCUGUGGGUCGGGACCCCGUUGGGGGUCGAAUGACGAUUUGCCAGGGGUCGCCUAAGACCAUCGGAAAUAAGGGAAGUAUACUUGCGAGUUGAAGAAUCGCGCUCCAAUGGUUGACUCCACAAGCCAGCUGCAGGCUCUUCAAAUCGCUAGCCGAAUUCGGCUUCAGGCGCGAUGAAUUAAAAAAGAGAGAAAUCUUUGCUCUGAUGUCUUCCUCUCAAGCCAGCUGCAAUCACUCCCAAUCGCUAGCCUAAUCUGGCUUCAGGCGCGAUAAACUUAAUAGGGGAGGAGUCUCCGCUUUAAUGCCUCCGUCCUCAAGGCAAUCGCAAGCAGUUCAGAUCGCUAGCCAAUACGGCUUCAGGCGCGAUAAAUUCAAAACAAAAAUAAUUUUAUGGUUGUGGUCGCCACAUUAUGGGGAAUUGUAUUAAAGGGGUCGCCACAUCAUGGGGAAUUGUAUUAAAGGGGUCGCAGCACUAUAAAGAUUGAGAACCACUGUGUUAAACCAUCUCUCCUGCAUGUCCCUUCUACUGGGUCUCAUUCAGCUGAUGGAAGUGUAUUUAUUUCUUGUUGCAGAAAAUUCAGAAGUACUAAGCACCACACAGGGUUUCUUUUUAAAGUUUCUCUCCACCCAGGACCCAGCUUGCUUCUUUAUAGAUAAGACACAGAAAGGAGAAACAAAGUGGUAGCAAGCUGCUGAAAAUAUUUGCAAUUUACACUUGGGGCUGCUGCGUGUUUAGGAGCAAUGUGACAAGCAGAAUUUCAGGGCUGAAGAUUUUUUUACGGAUGGAACUGAAGAGACGAGCAAAGCUACACUUGCUGAAUUUUCCACAAUUACACUGCUGUUACAUGCAAGGAAGGAGCUUUCUCUUUUAAAAAAUAAAAAAUAAAACCUGUCUGGAAAACAGGACCAAAGAACAAAUGAAAAAUGAAUUACUAUGGUGUCCCUGAGAAUUAGGAACUGUUCUGAGGUCUGAGGCUGAAAAUAUUCAGCACAGAUGAAAAAGUUAAUGUUGCAUAUCUCAACACUGGGCCAAGAAUUUUUUUUCUUGUGAUAGCC